Molecule: long non-coding RNA, 1242 nt
Organism: Quercus robur (English oak)
Lineage: Eukaryota; Viridiplantae; Streptophyta; Magnoliopsida; Fagales; Fagaceae
Exons: 2
Source: RefSeq, a predicted model, not a curated record
UCCCCAAAGCUUUUUUCUUUAAUUUUUUUUUCUUUCUUUUCAUUCGGCUCCCACUUCUCAAGCUCUUAAAAGUUAAAAACCCAUUUUUCAUUUCCCAUCCAACUCCAUUUUUUUUUUCUCUCUCUAACCCAUUUUCAUUUUCACCAUGCGGAGCUCUCUCUCACCAUGGUCGAGCUCUCUCUCUCACAUCUCCACUGCCCCUAGCAACCGCCCUAGCCCUAGCCGCUGCCACCGCCAUCGCCCUAGCUGUAGCCGCCGCCGCCAUAGAUCUACUCUCUCUCACCUCAGCCACCACCCAUUGCCAUUAAUGGAAUAAUGAUUAUUUUCAUUUUUCAUAGUAUUUUUCUUAUCAUUGUUAUUGUUUUUUUCUCCAGGAUAGAAGCUUUACUUUCAUUUUGAAGACACCCCCUACUUCAGUUCUGCUCUUAAAAGCUGCAGUGUGUUUCAGGGCUAUUACCAAUUUGAUGUAGUAACUUAUUGAGUGGUUAUUACUUGAAUCAAGCUUCGUUUUCAUACAUCCAACAUGUAAUGUUACAGCUUACAAGUAGAAUCUAGAAAACUAGAAUUUUUCAUCACUGAUGUUUUCAUAUGGGAAAAUAUACUUAUUUGAAAAAGUGGAGCAUCUUCGAUUUGAUUUCGGCAUUGACUCUGAUUGUGCUAGAUGAAAAGUGAACUCAUUAUUAUCUUGCUAAGGGCUCAUUAGAAUACUCAUAAUGGAGAAAUUGUGCGGAAAGUUUACUACGCUUUUUGAAAGGCCUCUUAAAUGAAAUACUCAUCUACAAACAUAACAAGCGAGCACCUGUCAGUGGCUCCAGACCAUAAAUUUUGAGAUGCUUAAAUCCUAAUGAACAACAAAUAUGAUGAUGAACUUUAAAGGGGAGAGUUUGGAGUAAUUUGAUUGUGUUCUAUACAAUUAAUUUGAGGUGGAAAAAGUGCUCGAUCCUUUAAGUUCUUCAUUUGAUCAUCUCUCAAACCCACACUCACUGUAAGUUCUUCUUUUCUUUCUAAAGGUUUUUUUUUUUUUUUUUUUAAUAAUUUUUUUUGUUAAUUAAUAGAGAGAAUGUUCGGCAAUGCUUUGAAGAUCUCACACUAAAGGUAUUCUAUUUCAGAAAGUCUUACAUUUUAUUUAACUGUCAUCUUGUAACAGCAAUGUUUCAAUAGCUUGUUAGACUCUGCCUCACUUGGUAAUGUUCCUGUUGUUAUCUAUUGGAGGGUGAAAGAAUUCCUCGCUGGUUUGAUUGA